UACGUAGGGCGCAAGCGUUGUCCGGAAUUAUUGGGCGUAAAGAGCUCGUAGGCGGCUUGUCACGUCGGGUGUGAAAGCCCGGGGCUUAACCCCGGGUCUGCAUUCGAUACGGGCUAGCUAGAGUGUGGUAGGGGUGAUCGGAAUUCCUGGUGUAGCGGUGAAAUGCGCAGAUAUCAGGAGGAACACCGGUGGCGAAGGCGGGUCUCUGGGCCGAUACUGACGCUGAGGAGCGAAAGCGUGGGGAGCGAACAGG
Molecule: ribosomal RNA, 253 nt
Filed under: uncultured bacterium
Lineage: Bacteria
Description: partial 16S ribosomal RNA
Rfam family: Bacterial small subunit ribosomal RNA
Source: RNAcentral